Molecule: ribosomal RNA, 253 nt
Filed under: uncultured bacterium
Lineage: Bacteria
Description: partial 16S ribosomal RNA
Rfam family: Bacterial small subunit ribosomal RNA
Source: RNAcentral
UACGUAGGUGACAAGCGUUGUCCGGAUUUACUGGGCGUAAAGAGCGCGCAGGCGGUCGAUCAAGUCGAGUGUGAAAGCCCCCGGCUCAACUGGGGAGGGUCAUUCGAUACUGAUCGACUCGAAGGCAGGAGAGGGUGGUGGAAUUCCCGGUGUAGUGGUGAAAUGCGUAGAGAUCGGCAGGAACACCAGUGGCGAAGGCGGCCACCUAGCCCGCACCUGACGCUGAGGCGCGACAGCGUGGGGAGCGAACUGG